RNAcentral lists this ribosomal RNA (1373 nucleotides) under uncultured Actinomycetes bacterium. RNAcentral's name for it is "bacterial SSU rRNA". It matches the Rfam family "Bacterial small subunit ribosomal RNA". The record is from RNAcentral. Lineage: Bacteria; Bacillati; Actinomycetota; Actinomycetes.
GAGUUUGAUCCUGGCUCAGGACGAACGCUGGCGGCGUGCUUAACACAUGCAAGUCGAACGGAAAGGCCCUUUCGGGGGUGCUCGAGUGGCGAACGGGUGAGUAACACGUGGGUGAUCUGCCCUGCACUUUGGGAUAAGCCUGGGAAACUGGGUCUAAUACCGAAUAGUCCCUGCUGGUCGCAUGGCCUGGUGGGGGAAAGCUUUUGCGGUGUGGGAUGGGCCCGCGGCCUAUCAGCUUGUUGGUGGGGUGAUGGCCUACCAAGGCGACGACGGGUAGCCGGCCUGGGAGGGUGUCCGGCCACACUGGGACUGAGAUACGGCCCAGACUCCUACGGGAGGCAGCAGUGGGGAAUAUUGCACAAUGGGCGCAAGCCUGAUGCAGCGACGCCGCGUGGGGGAUGACGGCCUUCGGGUUGUAAACCUCUUUCAGUACCGACGAAGCGUAAGUGACGGUAGGUACAGAAGAAGCACCGGCCAACUACGUGCCAGCAGCCGCGGUAAUACGUAGGGUGCGAGCGUUGUCCGGAAUUACUGGGCGUAAAGAGCUCGUAGGUGGUUUGUCGCGUUGUCCGUGAAAACUCACAGCUUAACUGUGGGCGUGCGGGCGAUACGGGCAGACUGGAGUACUGCAGGGGAGACUGGGAUUCCUGGUGUAGCGGUGGAAUGCGCAGAUAUCAGGAGGAACACCGGUGGCGAAGGCGGGUCUCUGGGCAGUAACUGACGCUGAGGAGCGAAAGCGUGGGGAGCGAACAGGAUUAGAUACCCUGGUAGUCCACGCCGUAAACGGUGGGUACUAGGUGUGGGUUCUUUCCUAAGGAUCCGUGCCGUAGCUAACGCAUUAAGUACCCCGCCUGGGGAGUACGGCCGCAAGGCUAAAACUCAAAGGAAUUGACGGGGGCCCGCACAAGCGGCGGAGCAUGUGGAUUAAUUCGAUGCAACGCGAAGAACCUUACCUGGGUUUGACAUGCACAGGACGCCGGCAGAGAUGUCGGUUCCCUUGUGGCCUGUGUGCAGGUGGUGCAUGGCUGUCGUCAGCUCGUGUCGUGAGAUGUUGGGUUAAGUCCCGCAACGAGCGCAACCCUUGUCUCAUGUUGCCAGCGCGUUAUGGCGGGGACUCGUGAGAGACUGCCGGGGUCAACUCGGAGGAAGGUGGGGAUGACGUCAAGUCAUCAUGCCCCUUAUGUCCAGGGCUUCACACAUGCUACAAUGGCCGGUACAAAGGGCUGCGAUGCCGUGAGGUGGAGCGAAUCCUUUCAAAGCCGGUCUCAGUUCGGAUCGGGGUCUGCAACUCGACCCCGUGAAGUCGGAGUCGCUAGUAAUCGCAGAUCAGCAACGCUGCGGUGAAUACGUUCCCGGGCCUUGACACCCCCCUC